UCAGCUUUGUCAAACGAAUCCACCCAUUGUUGGCAAGGGUAGUGCAAUGGCGUAUCCAAGAUGUUUCCAAAAAAGACAAUAAAGUUGCUGAUUAUCUUACAAAAAUGGUUCGUAACAAUGAGGACGCUUUACAAUUGUUUCAACAACCUCCAAGAGGGGUUUUAGUUUAAGGUUAUUUGAUUUGUAUGUUAUGUUUUCUUAUCACCAAAAAAACCAUUAUACUAUAAAUUAUACAAACACUCAUGGGAUCAAUGAUUAUUAUAGGUAAAAAAAUCUAAGAAGAACACAUAGCCCACAAGAAUUUAAUCUUUGUUAUGAACUCCCACUGAAUUACAAUGAUUUUAGCAUCAUUGACAUUCCAUUUGAAUGGAUUUGAUUACACCAUUGUAGAGCAAUAUGUGAAUGUUCAAUCUGCUGAUGAACAAUGUACCAAAGAAUCCAGCAGUAAGUGCUGCUGCUCUAUGAUUUGGGAUACCGUUCCUGUAAUACCAAUUAUUUGCCCUGCCCAAUCAAUAAUAAAAUACAAUAGCAGGCCCAAUAAAAUUAAAACCCAAUAGCCGAUUUCAACCCUAGUCCAACAGAAAAUGCCCCAAAACACCAGCAAGAAGCCUAGGCGCAGCAGCUCCCACACGCACGCCGCAACAGCGCCCGCACACCGUGUUUGUCGCUCCGCGCCCGUCGCGCGCACUCCACGGUCACCAAACCUGCGAAAAAGGGGUACACAAGCACAGCAAAUAACAGAAAGAAGUGGGGUUUUUGAUUUUUUUUUUCAGAUUUUUAGUUUUAAUCGGCUAUAUAAAGUCGAUGAAAGUCUGUAACAAAGGGGGAGGGACUUUUUUCGGUGUAAAAUAUAUUCGAAAACAGAGAGAAUAUUGAGAAUACAAAGAAUAUUUUUCAAAAGGUGAUUUUAUUUUUUCCGAUUUUUCUUUGAUUUUACUGUUUUUUUAUUAUUAUUUUGCUAUCUUCUUCUUUUCUUUCUCCUUUUAAAAAAUAAUAAUAAACAAAACGAAAAGGAUAAGCAAAGGAGGACUUACUAUCGUGAGGGUCGUCGGGAGACCUCUCCUUUUUGUCGUUAUCGGAGUGAAAGGAGUCUGAAAUGGCAUAGAGGGAGAGGAGCUGCGGCAAUUUCAAAAGUGGCAGAAGAGAGUUAUUUUUAGGGUUUGAAAUGGGUUUUAUUGGCUGCAAAUGAAAUGGAUUUUAACUUUUAAACAUUGAUGGGUUAUUUUCGUUUAUAAUCCUUUCAUGUUUCCCAUCAUUUCAAAACCAUUGUUUUUAUCGUUUUCAAAUUUUUCCAUGACAUAUUAAAUCUGUUCUAUUUUAAUCCCAUGCUGCACAACGUUUUGGAAGGGAGGGAUUAAUUUCCCUUCUGGCCCUCCAUGUUGCACGCAUUUUGCGAAUUCAUCCUCUGCUUUAAUUUGAUUUUGUGUUUUAAUUCUGUUUUGAUUCAAAUUUAGUCCAUUGUAUUUGCUUUUACAAAUUAGAUUAUAUAUUAGUUUGUAAUAUUGUUCUUGUUAUUAAGUUGCUGUUAUUUUUGUUAUUAUAUUAUAUAUUACUAUUAUUAUUAUUAUUAUACAUAUAUACACGCAUAUGUUUGUAUUUUAUAUAUGUAUAUAUAUUUUAAAUGUUUUUAAAAUACGUGUACAUAUUUUAUAUAUUUUAUUACUAUAUUAUCUUCUUAGUUUUUUAUAUAUAGUUUAUAUAUGUAUAUAAAUUUACAUUUUAUAAUACAUAUACAUUUUUCCAUUUUAUAAUUCAUACAUAUUUUCACAUACAUGUAUAUAUUUUCGUAGUUUAUUUAUAUAUUAUAUAUAUUGUUUUGUUUUUCUUUGUAAAUAUAUAUAUGCGUAUUUUUAUACUUUUAUUUUGUUUUCAACACAUGUAUUUGUAUUUGUUUUAUUUGAUAUAUUCCAUUCUCUCUUUUUAGAUGUAUGCUGGUAUGUGUGUUUGAUAUAUGUGUACAUAUGUUUGCAACUUUACUGAUAUAUUGUAUUUGUAUAUAUAUAUUUGCGAAUAUUUAUUCGUAUAUGCUGUAAAUUAAAGGAUCUGUAUCAUAUUGCAUAAUAACUUUAACAUACCCUUUUGAAAAUAUUUUUUGGUUUUAACCAUUCAUCAAGGUUAUUUUCUUGAUUUAAAGGUUUUUUUUUUUGAAUAAAAGCAUUAUUUGAGGUUUGGGAUUUUCGAGGGAAAUUGAGCCCUAACGUAUUGGGUUCUAAUUUUCUUUGUCAAUUUUAAAUGACCGAGAAUAUUCUUUAUUCAAAAUGCAUUAGUAUAAAAAUCAUUUUUGGGAACUUAACUUGUUGUGCCCUAACGUAUUGGGUGUGGCCUGUUACUUUCUCGAAAUGAAGAUUUUCGCAUAAAAUAAAAGUGAUAUUCAAAGUUCAGGGAUUAUGAGGAAUCAUACCCUAACGUAUUGGGACCCGAUUUCUUUACAUGACUUGAACAAUUGGUUAUCCUUUUGCAAAUUUCAUCAUUCAAGCUUAUUUUUAAAUUUUUUUUAAAUUUCGACACUAAGACAUCAAAUAAUCAAUUUGGUACCGAUUUUGGGCGUUACGAUGGUGCUAACCCUUCCUCGUGCGUAACUGACUCCCAGACUCGUUUUCUCAAAAUUCAUAGGCCAAAAUAUUUUUUUAAGGUGGGCCGAUCACACCUUAAUAAAAGGAUCGGUGGUGACUCCAGUUUUAUUUUUUUUUUAAAGUCGACAACUAAGUUUUUGUUUUCAAAAAACGGUUUCGACAGCUUGGCGACUCCGCCGGGGACACUAGAGAGUCGAGCCAUGAAUUGAUUAUGUUUUGUCUUUUUGUCGAAAAUCAAAAGUUUUUAAAAAAAUCAUGAUUUCCCUUCGCAUUCAUUGAUCUUUUAUCAUGGAAUGUCGGCUACUUUGCAUUUACAUUUGCAUUUUUACAUUGCAUGGUCCGUUUUACCCCUUUAAGUGGGAGCGAGAAACUAGUCCUUCGUGAGGUUUUCACCUCCGUGCAGGGUAGUGGACCGCUUCCGGGAUACAUCCGUACCUAUGUCUUCGUGAGAUUUUCAUCUCCGUGCAGCCAUAGGGAAAUGUAUCCCCCUGAACCGAACUCGAUCUAUAUGAGCCUAUAAUGGGUGAAGAUCGAGGAAUCUGCUGGUUCGGGUACCUUUACCUUAGAAGCCAAACCGCAUAUAGUGAACUUUAGGAACUUACCCUAGGUAGAAUUACUCUAAACCUUAGUAGAUACCUGACUAGGAGUUUUUAUUAUUUCUUGAUUGUAUUGGAUUUAAUGUUUAUACCCGAUACUAACUCAUUUUGUUUUGUUUUGGUUAUGAUUGCAUUGUAUUUGCAUUGUAGAAAAGAGAUGUUGAUUCAAGUUUGAUUACUAGUUUAGAAAGCCUAUCAUAAGAAAACGGGUUUCUUGAUAAAAUGGAAAAUAGUACGGCAGCCUGAAUAUAUUCCAAGAAAUACAAGAAGGGCGAUGGAAGAAUUCGUGACUUUACUUUGAGGCCCGAGGAUUCAAGAUGAUUUGUCUAAGAGCAUUCAACAUUCCAAAUUUCUUAAAGAAGCUAAUGAGCAUUACGAGGAUAGGCAGACAACGGAUUGCGACCAGAAUCAAGCAGAAGGAGCUAGCAGUGACAUCUAUUGGAAGUUCGCGAGGUUUAUCUUAACAUCCGAAUGAAAAAGGAGAAGAUGUCUUCGCUUCGAGUAUGAGGGCAAAGCCGUAUAUAUAUCCGCUUUAUGUAAAGAAAUUUGUCCUCUAGUAAGGUUUUCUAAAUGGAAUUGAAUCAGAAUCAACGUCUCUUUAUGCAUUCAUUUCAUGCAUUCGCAUUUCAUUACAUCAUAUGCAUCAAAGAUUAUUCAAAGAUCCUAAUUAACUAAAAUCAUUGCUCAGUUAACCUGGAAUCCAACCAACCAACCCAACACCGAUACGGCACUCGAGCAAAGACAAAAUAUAUGGAUCAGAGAUUAGAAAAGCUCGAACAGUACCAGAAGGAGAUGCAAGACCGGCUUCAGCUACAAAUGCAGGAGUGGUUAGACAAGAUGAAACAAGAGAUGUCUGAGAAGAUGCGAGAAUCCCAAGAAGAUAUAGUGGCAAAGUUAACCCAACUGAUAACUAAGGGAAGUGAUAAAGGAAAGGGCCCCAUGGCAAAUGUCGAUGAGGGAAAUGAUGAUGAACCUUUCUAUCCUCCAGGUCUUACCCCUCCACAUGUGCGAACUCAAGCUGAAUACCCGCGCAAAUCUACUGUCACCAUCAUGCCGCAGCAGUUUCGGGCUGGUGUUUCGAACUCCCAGGCUGGACCGGGUUCUAAUCUCGAAAAUAACCCUGUUAACUCUGUCAUUCCUGACUUUGAUGAAGUGGUUGAGAAGGAAAGAAUGAAGGAGGAGCUACCGAAAUAGUUAGAGGAAAGGUGUAGGUGGCUAGAGGAGAAAUUCAAGGCGAUGGAAGUCACUGAAAGCUAUCGCGGGAUUGACGCUAAAGAGCUAAGUUUAGUUCCAGGUUUGGUACUCCCUCACAAGUUUAAGAUGCCAGAAUUCGAGAAGUACAAUGGGACAACUUGCCCAGAAGCUCAUAUCGCCAUGUUCUGCAAACGAAUAGCGGGAUAUGUUAACAACGACCAACUCCUGAUACAUUGUUUCCAAGACAGCCUUGUAGGGGCAGCAUCCAAAUGGUACAAUCAGUUGAGUCGUGCCACGAUUGGUUCAUGGAGGGACCUGGCACAAUCGUUCAUGAAACAAUAUAGUCAUGUGACAGACAUGGCUCCUGAUAGAAUCACCCUUCAAAACAUGGAGAAGAAACCGAGUGAAAGCUUCAGGCAGUACGCACAGAGAUGGAGGGAGGUUGCGGUCCAAGUUCAGCCACCGCUCUUAGAGAAAGAAAUAACCAUGCUGUUCAUUAACACACUGAAGGCACCAUUCAUUAUACAUAUGUUAGGGAGUGCCACAAAAAGCUUUCCCGACAUAAUCAUGAAUGGUGAGAUGAUCGAAAAUGCCAUAAGAAAUGGAAAGAUCGAUGCUGGAGAGAGUAACAAGAGGUCAGUCUCAAGGAGAAGAGAAGAUGAAGUGAACAACAUGAGUUACUCUAAAUCAGUUACUGUAAGUCAGCCAAGAAAGGUGGCUGCUAACCAGCAAGGUUCAUCAAGACAAGAAGCUGGUACAGGACAAAACACAGAGAGGCCCCGAUUCACGCCAAUUCCAGUACCAUAUAGGAAACUGUAUCAAAAUCUGUUUGAUGCCCAUGUUGUUUCUCAUUUUCCUGUGAAGCCUCUACAACCUCCGUAUCCCAAAUGGUAUGAUACGAACGCGCAAUGUGAAUACCAUGCGGGAAUUACGGGACACUCGAUUGAGAAUUGCACUGCCUUCAAGAAGUAAGUUGAAAGACUCAUCGACAUGGGUGUUGUCAAGUUUGGUGACUCAUCAAGUACCGAAAAUCCAUUACCCAAUCAUGAUUGAUAAUGGAGGGAAUGCAAUGCUUUCUGGUCAGAUAUUCGCCUGGGAGGUGUUAAAAAUAAUGGGACUGCAGAGGAAACCCCUAUAUUAUUUAGAGUCUGUUAAAGUAAUGUUCAGAACACAUUUGUUGCUUUUAGCCUAGAAGAAAUGAGAACUCCUUUGUGAAAUAGGCUCAUGUCUGAACAUUAUUAUUUUUAAUGAAUACAUUAUUGCAAUCAUCUUUGAGCAAAUGUUCUUUCAGUCUUUACGUUUUCUUCAUUCUAUUGGAUUUCUCCUGCCAAAUCAUUCAUUCGUUCAUUCAUAUUACUCAUACAUUCUUUUUUAUAUUUUUUGGUACCCACUAUGGGUCCCCAAAUAUCAAUGACAUGAAUGACGCUGCUACAGAUUUAGAAUCUCCUUUUGAGUGAGACAUGUGUUUAGAGGGAUCUCACAACUUUGAAGAUGGCAUGGAUCGUAUCUUAUUUCUGGACUUAUUAAGGAUGGUAGAGCAGGAAGAAAAUUUUACCUCAUGAGGAGACAAUAGAAACUGUGACCUUGAGGGAACAUGCAUGACCGAAAAAGCAAUACGUUGUUGGGUUACUUCAAGCAUUCGAAGAUGCCUUCGCAUGGUGAUACCAGGAUGUACCCGGUUUAAGCGCCGUCAUUGCAAUCUGAACAACAGCACGAUAUCAGAAAUUUACAGUAUGUUCAAGGUGAAUAUCAUGAAUGGUGCAAUGAAAACUCUACCGGGGCAAUGCCACUCUUUCCAGUUUAUCGCGUUUUUUUAUUGAAGUUGAAAUUCUUUCUCUUCGAGUUUUGGCUGAGGUGAAGUAGGAUGAAGAUCCAAUCCCGAUACGACUAGUUAAACCUAGUUGAAGAAAAAGGCUAGAAACUAUUCAUCAAGGUCAGAUAUACCAAGAAAUGAAUGAUGCGAGCCUAUAAUAAAAGGUUUGUCCUAGAGAAUUCCACGAUGGCGACCUAAUACUGAAGAAGCUCCUCACUCUACAAAAAAAUAUAACGGAUGCCAAAUUAGGAAAAACCUUAUGUUAUAGAGAAGGUCUUUUCCAAAGGAGCUUUAAUUUUGAGUAAGAUGGAUGAUAAACCUGCAAAGUCCUGUAAACUCAGAUUCAGUCAGGAAAUACUUUGCUUAAAGAAGGAGAGGACCAAGGUAAAAACCCGCAAAGGGCAGUUUGAGUCUCAAAAAAAAAGGAAAAAAGAAAAAAAGAAGUGAUGAAAAUGAAAAUGAAAAAGUAAAAAUAGAGAGGCUAAGGUGAAAACUCGCAAAGGGCGCCUUAGACCAAAGGGGAUUUGAGUUGAAAACCCAAAAAGGGCGGCUCAAAUAUUGAUCAGAAUGGGGCAUGAAGUAAUCAGAGCAGCUCAAAUACUGAUCAGAAUGGGAUAUGCAGUGGUCUUGCUAUACCAGAAUCAGCAGGAAAGGGUAUGCGACAUCUUGGGGCAUCGGUAGAGUAUGGUAGAUCUCCUAAACACAUGUCAAACCCAGAAAGGUCUUCAGCAAGUUUGUACAGAAAAGUUCAAGCUACGAUAUCUGGGGCACCUAAUCCUUAUACCAUUUUUGUUAUUCUUGGAACACUUCAUUCAUUUCCAAGAUACACAUUUCUAAAUCCAUUUCUUUGUCAUUUAUCUUUAUUAUCUUUGACAACUUAUUCAUUUCAAGCUAUGCUCAGAACCAACUCUAUUCUUAUCCAUAAUCUUUUUUGCAAGCAUGUUGCAUUAGAAUAAUGAUUAAUGGACUAAUAAAACUUUCACAAGGGAAGUUUUGCAUAUUACUCUAAAAGCUUCUAAAUAAUAUAGGAACCUCAAACAGGACUAUUGUUUAGAACGCACCAGGUUGGAAAUCUGAUAAGGAAAAGUCUAAAUUCAGACUAUCCCUUUGAGUUUUUGCUAUCUAAAACAUCGAUUGAACAAUACGGCAAGAUGUCGUGUUGGUGACAAAGCUUCAAUGAACAAGCAAGCAAUGAUCACCGAAUAAUAAGAAGAAGUUGUUCUUGGAGAAGAUUUCUUCAUUUGUACAUGAGCAUUUGGUGCAUCACCCUGGGAAUGGUGUAAAAAACCAAAAAGUUUCAUAUCAUGUAUCCUUGAAUUGUGAUAAUAGAGGAUUGAGAAAAGGCCAAAUCUUUUACUCUUGGGUUACAACGGGAAAAGAUGGUACAAAUUUUGCAUCCCAGUGGAUCAAACUUGGAGGUUUACAGUGGGAGGUAAUCUGGUCAAGUGCUUAUUGGGUUCGCCAACCGAGCAUAAAGGCGCUAUAGUACAUUAAGCGAUAGGACCUUAAUAAACUUGGAGUAAUAAUAACUCAAGCGUUAAAAUAUCAUUUUCAUGACAUUCUGCAUUCAUUCAAAUGUCAUUCAUACAUGUCUAGUUAGGAGCAUUGGAUUUAUUAUGAUCAUGACAUCCUAAUAACUAGGCAUAAUUAGGUUCAUAAAGUGAAUCAUACAGGUCAUGUUCCCCAGAGAACAGAUCGGUGAAAUCAUAAAGUCUUAUCUCCCUGAGCAACAACGGAGCAGGCUGAAAAGAAAAGCAGAUCUUGUCUUCAUGUACUGGAGUGAAGUAGAUCAAAGAUACCAGAUCUUGUUUUCCCAUACUGGUGGUGAAGUAGAUCGAAAAAGUAGAUCUUGUCUUCAUGUACUGGCGUGAAGUAGAUCAAAGAUACCAGAUCUUGUCUUCCCAUACUAAUGGCGAAGUAAAUCAGAAAAAACAGAUCUUGUUUUCAUGUACUGGCGUGAAGUAGAUCAAAGAUAGCAGAUCUUGUCUUCCCAUACUGGUGGCGAUGUAGAUCGAAGAAAAUAGAUCUUAUCUUUAUGUACUGGCGUGAAGUAGAUCAAAGAUAGCAGAUCUUGUCUUCCCAUACUGGUGGCGAAGUAGAUCGAAGAAAAUAGAUUUUGUCUUCAUGUACUGGCGUGAAGUAGAUCAAAGAUAGCAGAUUUUAUCUUCCCAUACUGGUGGCGAAGUAGAUCGAAGAAAAUAGAUCUUGUCUUCAUGUAAUGGCGUGAAGUAGAUCAAAGAUAGCAGAUCUUGCUUUCCCAUACUGGCGGCGAAGCAGAUCGAAGAAAGUAGAUCUUGUCUUCAUGUACUGGCGUGAAGUAGAUCAAAGAUACCAGAUCUUGUCUUCCCAUAUUGGUGGCGAAGCAGAUCGAAGAAAACAAAUCUUGUCUUCAUGUAUCGGCAUGAAGUAGAUCAAAUACAACAGAUAUUGUCUCCCCAUACUGGUGGUGGAGUAGGUCAAAGAAAACAGAUCGUGUUUUCAUGUACUGACGUGAAGUAGAUCAAAGAUAGUAGGUCCUGUCCUCCUAUAUUGGUAGCGAAGUGGAUCGAAUAUACAUAUUUUAUCUUCCCAUACUGGCGGCGAAGUAGAUUGAAGAUUACAGAUCUUGCCUCCCUAAGUAGUAGUGGAGCAGAUCGAAGAUGGCGGAUUUUACCUCCCUGAAGUUGCAGUGGAGUACAUUGAGGCCAGUAAUUCUUACUUCCUUAGCAGUGCAGUGGAACAGAUUGAAGCUACGACGGCGGAUCUGGUUUCCCCGACAUUGCAGUUGAACAAAUUGAAGUUUACAGAUCUUAUCUCCCUAAACAGUAGUGGAGCAGAUCGAAGAUGGCGGAUUUUACCUCCCUGAGGUUACAGUGGAGUACAUUGAAGCUAGUAAUUCUAUCUCCCUGGGUAGCAGUGGAAUAGAUUGAAAAUUACAGAUCUUAUCUCCCUAAGCAGUAGUGGAGCAGAUCGAAGAUGGCAGAUUUUACCUCCCUGAAGUUGCAUUGGAGCAGAUUAAAGUCUAUAAUCCUAUCUCCUUGAAGUUGCAAUGGAGUGGAUUAAAACCACAGAUCUCAUCUCUUUGAAGUUGCAGCAGAGCAGAUCGUAUCAGAUUUAUUUUGUAGCAGAACAAGUUGAAGCUAUAAGUCUUAUCUUCCUAAAGUUGCAGUGGAGCAGAUUAAAGAUAGCAAAUUUUGUUCUUCUGAGAAGUUACAAUGUACGAAUCAUAUCUCUCUGACAUUGCAGUAGAGUAGAUUGAAACACCAGUUCCUAUACCUCUGAAGAUGCAGUAGGAAUGAACGAGACUACUAAUGCUAAGGUCCAUACGGCCAGGCAAAAAUUGGUCUUUUUAAGUCUUUGCUCCAUUCUCGUCACACGAUAACGAGCAAAGAGGGGCAGCUGUAAUACCAAUUAUUUGCCCUGCCCAAUCAAUAAUAAAAUACAAUAGCAGGCCCAAUAAAAUUAAAACCCAAUAGCCAAUUUCAACCCUAGUCCAACAGAAAAUGGCCCAAAACACCAGCAAGAAGCCUAGGCGCAGCAGCUCCCACACGCACGCCGCAACAACGCCCGCACACCGUGUUUGUCGCUCCGCGCCCGUCGCGCGCACUCCACGGUCACCAAACCUGCGAAAAAGGGGGACACAAGCACAACAAAUAACAGAAAAAAGUGGGGUUUUUGAUUUUUUUUUCAUAUUUUUAGUUUUAAUCGGCUAUAUAAAGCCGAUGAAAGUCUGUAACAAAGGGGGAGGGAUUUUUUUCGGUGUAAAAUAUAUUCGAAAACAGAGAGAAGAUUGAGAAUACAAAGAAUAUUUUUCAAAAGGUGAUUUUAUUUUUUCUGAUUUUUCUUUGAUUUUACUGUUUUUUUUAUUAUUUUGCUAUCUUCUUCUUUUCUUUCUCCUUUUAAAAAAUAAUAAUAAACAAAACGAAAAGUAUAAGCAAAGGAGGACUUACUAUCGUGAGGGUCGUCGGGAGACCUUUCCGUUUUGUCGUUAUCGGAGUGAAAGGAGUCUGAAAUGGCAUAGAGGGAGAGGAGCUGCGGCAAUUUCAAAA
Molecule: long non-coding RNA, 10204 nt
Filed under: Gossypium barbadense (sea-island cotton)
Lineage: Eukaryota; Viridiplantae; Streptophyta; Magnoliopsida; Malvales; Malvaceae
Description: long non-coding RNA (GBAR_LNC022574)
Source: RNAcentral